GCUUUGAUAUCAUCUUAGUAGUUAUAGAGACAUCCAACCCAAGACCAUCAGGUCCAUGCGGUUCAAGUUUCUGCCUCAGUGUAUAUCUCGUGACACAUCUAUCUCUCUGUCCGCGUGCAUAAGGUUGCACUAUUUCACUGUGGAGAGAAUUUUGGGAGUUUUUUUACUCAAAUUUAAUUUUGGUAUGAGUAAAAGGUAAAGAUGGAGAUUCCCUAAAGGAGGGGAGAGAAUUGUGGUUAACUCAGCGCACCCCAAAAUUAUAAAACCCUAUUCUUCAAAAAGAAAUUCCCUUUUUCUGUAAAUCCCAUAUCGGAGUUUACAAAAAAACUCUUAAAAAAGAAAAAAGUUAAACAAAAAAACAGUAAAUUUAUGUGUGAUUUGUUUGACUUUCAUAUUAAAUCAAUAUAAAAAAUUAUCAAUUCAAAUAAAAAAGUGUUUUAAUAAUAUUUUAAUGUGAUUUGUCUAAUUAGAAAGUAUCCCAAUAUAUAUUAUACAAUAAUUAUUGAUAUUUUUUACAAUUGUAAGAAAGUUUUCAAAAAAAUACUGUGGAUAUCUCAUUAAAAUCAAUUAUUUUAAAAAUAGUAUUGACGAAUUUUCAAUAUAUGAACAAAUUUUUUUUUUUCUUGUUUUAUUUUUGACACAUGUCAGAACAUCCCCACCCUUUAAUGUAGAAACUCGUUUUAACCAAAAUAUUUAGUCAUAUAAUCAAAU
RNAcentral lists this long non-coding RNA (711 nucleotides) under Actinidia chinensis (golden kiwifruit). RNAcentral's name for it is "long non-coding RNA (ACHI_LNC000450)". The record is from RNAcentral. Lineage: Eukaryota; Viridiplantae; Streptophyta; Magnoliopsida; Ericales; Actinidiaceae.